GACGAACGCUGGCGGCGUGCUUAACACAUGCAAGUCGAGCGAGGAGCUUGCUCCUAGCGGCGAACGGGUGAGUAACACGUGGGCAACCUGCCCCAAGCUCUGGAAUAACUCCGGGAAACCGGGGCUAAUGCCGGAUAUGACAUCACUGGGCAUCUGGUGGUGUGGAAAGAUUUAUCGGCUUGGGAUGGGCCCGCGGCCUAUCAGCUUGUUGGUGGGGUAAUGGCCUACCAAGGCGACGACGGGUAGCCGGCCUGAGAGGGCGAUCGGCCACACUGGGACUGAGACACGGCCCAGACUCCUACGGGAGGCAGCAGUGGGGAAUAUUGCGCAAUGGGCGAAAGCCUGACGCAGCGACGCCGCGUGAGGGAUGACGGCC
Molecule: ribosomal RNA, 376 nt
Filed under: Frankia sp.
Lineage: Bacteria; Bacillati; Actinomycetota; Actinomycetes; Frankiales; Frankiaceae
Description: bacterial SSU rRNA
Rfam family: Bacterial small subunit ribosomal RNA
Source: RNAcentral